Acanthaster planci (crown-of-thorns starfish) is the source of this 998-nucleotide long non-coding RNA. The record is from RefSeq and is a predicted model, not a curated record. NCBI's taxonomy places the organism in Eukaryota, Metazoa, Echinodermata, Asteroidea, Valvatida, Acanthasteridae.
UUUAAAGCUACCAACGUGUUUCAUAAAGUCAUAGUCUUGAAUCAAGCCAAGUUUCACAACCUACACAACGCAUUCACUGACGUACAUGUACUGUACAUGUACAUUGUACAUGUACGUUAGUACGUGUAACAGGCAAAUUACAGCAGAUGGGUUUUGAGCAGAGACUAAAAGUCGAUGCAUUGACAUUCGGCCAUUAAUGCAUUCGGCUUACGAUUUCAUUUCUAUGGCGCGCCAAUGUGGCCGCAAUUCCAAGUUCGUCUAAUUUUUCUCUUUUCAGCUUCAAUGUAGACAAGUCGGCCAGCAAAGACGCGAACGUCCUACAUGUAUCAAAACUCAUCCCCUUUUUUUCAAACACACAUCAUGGACAAACUACCUUCUUAAUGUGCGUUCUGUUAUCCUAAUUUAUAGUGAAAAUUACCAAUUGCCAAGUUACCCAAAGGAAACGAGAUUUGGAAUAUCAACCCUAGCUUCAGAACUGAUACUGAAAAUAAUUUACGAUAGGGAGAAUCCAAUUUCUCAAAUACAUAAUGCAAUUAAUUAAACAAAGAAUUUUUAUGAGUAGGUCACUGAAAUUUCAUUCAUUUAUUUUAACACUCUCCUUAAUAUCAACAGGGGUAUAACAACGUACAUAUUUUAACAAUUAAACAAAAAUCAUCUUAUGACUUGAUAUUCAACUGAAAACCAUAAACAUUUUUGUGUAUUCAUUUACAAUAACAACAAAAGUUGACUGCUUGAUCCAAAAGUUACGGCUACGGCCAGCAGAAAUACAAGUCUUUGGGAAGUGGACCAACCGCUAGCUGGCGGUUCUCAUGGGAGUUGGCAAUAAGGACACCAGGACUGGUGAACGUUGACUGAAGGGAAACAACAAAGGGAUAUCCAUUCAGCUAGUGGAACACAUUACAAAAAAUGAGCUGGUGACAGCAGCUUCUUGCUGUGGUGGUCUGCAUCUAUCGUCUCUUGGGCCUUCCCAUCAUCUUCCUCGUCCUCGGGAAUGUUCU